Molecule: ribosomal RNA, 497 nt
Filed under: uncultured bacterium
Lineage: Bacteria
Description: bacterial SSU rRNA
Rfam family: Bacterial small subunit ribosomal RNA
Source: RNAcentral
ACUCAAAGGAAUAGACGGGGGCCCGCACAAGCGGUGGAGCAUGUGGUUUAAUUCGAAGCAACGCGAAGAACCUUACCAGGUCUUGACAUACCCAUCCUAGUUGUAGAGAUACAACGUUCCUUCGGGAGAUGGGAUACAGGUGGUGCAUGGUUGUCGUCAGCUCGUGUCGUGAGAUGUUGGGUUAAGUCCCGCAACGAGCGCAACCCUUAUGGAUAGUUGCCAGCAGUAAGAUGGGCACUCUAGACAGACUGCCGGAGAUAAUUCGGAGGAAGGUGGGGAUGACGUCAAAUCAUCAUGCCCCUUAUGACCUGGGCUACACACGUGCUACAAUGGGAUGUACAGAAAGAAGCGAGCUGGUGACAGUAAGCAAAUCUCAGAAAACAUUUCUCAGUUCGGAUUGGAGGCUGCAACUCGCCUCCAUGAAGUCGGAAUCGCUAGUAAUCGCAGAUCAGCACGCUGCGGUGAAUACGUUCCCGGGCCUUGUACACACCGCCCGU